GCAGACGUACCCAAGUGGUUACGGGGCUCGCCUGCUAAGCGAGUGUGCUCUGCAUGCGCAGGUUCAAACCCUGCCGUCUGCG
Non-coding RNA from Diplonema papillatum, 82 nucleotides. NCBI's taxonomy places the organism in Eukaryota, Euglenozoa, Diplonemea, Diplonemida, Diplonemidae. The record is from the annotation of a GenBank genome assembly.